Molecule: long non-coding RNA, 7835 nt
Filed under: Panax ginseng (ginseng)
Lineage: Eukaryota; Viridiplantae; Streptophyta; Magnoliopsida; Apiales; Araliaceae
Description: long non-coding RNA (PGIN_LNC017244)
Source: RNAcentral
UGGGGUCUUACAUUAAAUUCCUUUAGACAACACUUGGUCUAAAAAAUAAGAUUACAAAUAUAGAUGUCUAAUGAUCAAAGCAAAUAAUCAAUUUAACAAUGCAAGGCUAGACUAAUGUAUGCAAUGAUCAAAGAGUAAAAAGAGAUAUCACCAAUUUUUAGCUCACAAAAAUUAGCUGAAAAAUAAUUUGAAUAUUAAUUGCACAGCAGCCAAGAUAUUGCACAAAGAAUAAUAGAAUAACUUUUCAAGUAUGAUAGUGCAAAAAAUUAUUUGUGUGUUUUGUUAAUAGCACUGAUAUCUCAGUUAUUUUUAUAGCCCAAAGAUAUUAUUGUUGCUCUCCAUAAAAACAAAUCAGUUCCGUUAAAAACAAUCCAAAUAUAUUCCCGUUAAAACCAAUUUGGAUAGAUAGAUAUAUAACCAAUUUGGAUAGAUAGAUAUAUAACUAAUUUAAAGCUGCCGCCACAAGUCAUAUAUAUCAAUUCCAAAAUAAAUGUAAAGGAGAGAUAAUACUGCUUUUGAAAUAGAGUAAACUAACUUAGAAAUAUUAUCAGAGUGUUAGUUUCGUAAUUAUUAACAAGUGUAUCAUAAACCAACUUACUUAGGAUAAACAUAAUAUACAAUUUUCGAGAUGUAAGCAAGUAAGCCACUAAAUAAUAGUAAUCAUUAUACUGUCGUCUUUCUCAAAACAACUUCCAAUAUGCACUAUACAGAUCCACAAUAAAAUUUUAUACGUGUACAUGCAUAUAUCCCAUUAAAUUAGGAUACCCUUGGAAAUCUAAACAAUCAGUUGAAUUAAUCAAAGACUUUAGUAAUACCCAUAUGUGCUAAUUACUUAAUUAAUUAAUUUUGUAAUUCCCGAACAAUAAAAAAUAGUUAACAUUUCAUUUCAAUUUUAAGCAUGCAUUAAAUACUAAUUAUAUUAAACACACACAUAAAAUGUCCUAGAGCCUUGAAUUGAAAAAUUAAAUAUUUGCAAUGACCUUACAUUAAUUUCUUAGGACACAGAUGUCUUUAAAGCCUUUCAUCAAUGAACCUUUUAUCAACUUCCUGAAAUUUCACAAUAAAUAAUUUAGUACAAAAUAUGAAGUCAUCAUCAAAACAAUAAGGUUAGAAUAUAACAAGUCGACAAAUAUUUACCAAAAAUUACUUAUCUUUAAUCAACACAUCUUUAAUCUUUCAACAAUUUUUCAUCAUUUAAUAUUAUAACUCAUAAUAUUGACAACCAGAUCGUUCCCAGAAAAAAGGGGACUUUCCGAUAAGAUUUUCUUCUUAUUGGCGCGCAAUUAAAUAACCAAACCCCUUUCCUCGACAAAACUUUCUAGACAUUGUCAAUAAUGCAAAUAAUAAUAUAAAUAAUUAUAUCUUCUUAAUUAUUAAUUUAAUAAUAUAAAAUAUUGUGCAGAUGAUACUGUGACAAUAAUUGAACAAAACUGAGUGACUUCUUACGUAAGCAUCAAUAAUCAGAGAUACUAUGCAAUACCGUGUGCUACUGUGCAACAACGCGUAUUACAGUUCUUUUAUCACCGGAUAUUUCAACAGUUUAACGGUAAAAAGUCAUGUCGUUAUUUUCAUAAAAAGGUUAUUUUGUCGUUUUUUAUAUCCGAAAGUUAUUCCGUUAUGUGGUCCACCAAUGAUUGCGUCGUCGUACGAAUAUUUUCCGACAAAAAGAAUAUUCCCCGACUAAACGAAUAUUUUAUGACCACAUGCUUACUUUGCAAACUUUUCACAUAUCACCAUUAACUUUAACCUUUUAUCAAUUUAACCAUUUAUUGAAUAGAAUAAUAUUUAUAAGAAAAUUGAAUACUUUUAUUUUAUAAAAUUCGAGGUCUUACAUAAAAUUAAAGAAUGAUAUUCAUGUAUCAAAAAUAAUUUGGACAGAGAAGAAAAUUAAAUUCCGUUGUGAACAGUAUUUAUGAAUAGCAUCGUAUGGAUAAUACUCAUGAAUAGUACCAUAUAAAUAGUACUCGUGAAUAGUAUCGUAUGAAUAGUACCCGAAUGAAUAGUACCCCGUGAAUAGUACUUGAAUAAAUAGUAUCCGAGUGAAUAGUACCCCGAAUAAAAAUAUUAAAAUUUAAUAAGAAAGUUCAGACCAAUAUUCCAAUGAAACGAUACUAGAUGAAUCGCAAAAUUCAAGGAUAUUCUACUAAUUUCAGGGAUUAUAGAAGCAAUACUUAUCAAAAUAAGUGUAGAUUUAAGAAUAUGAAACGAAAUAAUAUCAUUUACAUACUAUAGAGUAUGGAAGAAAAUAAUAUUCCUUACGAAUAUUGAACGAAAAUAAUAUCUCUUACGAGUACAAAAGAAAUGAUAUCCCAUACAAGUAUGAAAGAAUACACGAAGCUGCAAAUGAAUUUUCACUCGUUAUGCGGUAAUCCGCGUAGACAGAUCAUUUUCACAAUUUAAUAAAGAAUGAAUACGAAGGGUUAUUCACCAUGCACACGGUAAUCCGCGUAAACAGGUUACUCCCGCGGAUUAAUAAAGAAUGAAUACGAAGGGUUAUUCACCAUGCAUGCGAUAAUUCGCGUAGACAAGUUACUCUCGCAGAUUAAUAAAGAAUAGAAUGACAACCUUUAUGAAUAUGACGAAAAUAACAUCCUUUACGAAUACAAAAGAAAUAAUACUGUUGGGAGAGUGCAUAUGUUGAUUUGAUGUUUAAAUGUAAAUGAUCAUGAUUAUAUGUAAAUUCCUUCAAGAGAUAUAUGUACAAGGACUUAGUGAUAGAUCAAAUUUGUUAGGUUGAUCUACUUCUUGAAAUGUAAUAGAUAGGCUUCAACAAGAAUCGUAGUGUAUCAAGUUGUUCAAGAUUACAGAAGCCAAGGCAGAAACGUAGAGCUCAGAGGAUCGUAGUGUGCCUGCCUUGAAGGACCUCUUUGGGAAUCGUAGAGUGGUCCCAACGUUUCCCGAACCAACUCAGAGAUCGUAGUGUGCUCUCGGAAACGUAGAGCUUGUAAUAACAAGCAAGUGAAGAUCGUAGUGUGCAAGUCUUUUAAGAGAAAUCGUAGUGCUCUUGUUUGAUAGCAUCAGACCAAGCACCAAGGUGACAAGACACCACGAUCUGGAUCGUAGAGUAUCAUCUGCCUUGUGUCAGAAACAUCGAGACCUACCUUUUGUUUGGAGACAAACUCCAACAAAUGUGGAAUGGGUUUUAAACGUUGAAGUCCUCAUCAGUCCCAACGGUACAAAAGAUAUCCUUAGUAUAUAACAAAAGAAACGUAUUCAAGAAGCUAAGGAAAGGACCAUAGGACAGAGGAAAACACCUUUUCAGGUGUUAAGUGAGAAAGCAGUCUGCUAUGUCAGUGGGCCAGGAUGCAAUUCAGAAGAUGUGCAAAAAAGUCUUCAUCAAAGAUCAGAAAUGUCAAACGCAUUUAAUGCUUCAACAAAAGGCUUCAACGGAUAGAUUUCGAGGAUCACAUAUAUACAAAACAUAUACAGAUGAGAGAAUUAAGCAAUCAUUGAACAAAACGUACAUGAACUCUCAACGCUCAACUCUACGAUCUGAGAAAAAGAGAAAGCUUACUCAGCUACUCAGUUCUUUCGAACAAGUGCUUAACAGCAACUGUGUAGCAACUACCAAGAACUCAAACAACGACCAAUCAACUGAAGUAAGAAGUUCCAAGUCAGAAGGACUUGAAGAGUUCUAAGUGAACUGUGAAGAACCAAGUCUGCUGGACUUGAAGAGUUCAAGAGUGAACUAAGAAGUUCCUAGACUGUUGGUCUAGAAGGAAUCUGUAAGAUUCAGAAAAGUGUAGAAGACAUCCUUAGUGAAUUUCCUACUCGAGGAGUAGAAGAGUGGACUAGGAGCUUUAAAUGCUCUGAACCACUUAAAACAACUGUGUCUAUUACAUUCUUGCUAUAACUGAUAUAUCUGCCAUAACUGCUAUAACUGCCUCACUCUCAUAAAUUCAUUAUAUCUUAAGGAAGAUUAAAACAAAUAUCAAUUCCGUUGUGUUUCAAUCAUUAUCAACUAACAAGUUAAAACGAAAAGAUUUUUAAAUAUCUAUUCAACCCACCCCCCUUCUAGAUAACUAUUGUGCCUCUGAAAACUAACAAAUACCCCUUACCUUAGUAGGAGACUAAAUCUGACUAGUAUAACGAAGAUAUUCUUGAGGAAAACUUGCACUAUUUGUUACACUCAAAGUAUCCUUAUACUCAAGAGAAAUACGCACAAUACUAUAGAAGAAGAUUUCUCUGAUUCUGGUGUGAUUUUCAUUUCUUAACUAAGUAUCCUAUUUAUAGGAGAAUGGCAGGACACUAUUUAAAUAUAAUCACGGGUGAACAGAAGAAAAAAUUCACGGGCGUUCGGCGAGAAAUGUAAUUUUUACUAUUCAUUACUGUGCAAUAAAAUAUUCUAAUAAAACAAAAAUUUUAUAUAAAAUAUAAUAUAUUCUAAUUAUAAUCUAAUAAAAUAAAUAACUUUAUAUAUAAGAUAAAAAAUAUUUUGUUUUAUAUAAAAAGUUUUUUGUUUUAUUACUAUUAUAAUAAUAAUAAAACAAAACUGAGACAACUUUCUACCGGCGAUUUUGAAAAAUGAGUAAGUGAGGGUCCAUGUAAUAAGUCAAACUUGCAACAAAUACUUCAUGACAACCCUUAUAUUUAUAUCAAAAAUUGAAUAAAUAUUUACCACAAAUCACUUAUCUUCAAUCAAUACAUUUUUAAUCUUCCAACAAUUAUUCAUCAUUAAUUUUAUAACUCACAAUAUUGACAACCAGAUCAUUUCCAAGAAAGAGGGGGCUUUCCGAUAAGGAUUUCUCCUUAUUGGCGCGUAAUUAAAUAACCAAACUCCUUUUCUCGAUAGAACUUUCUAGACAUUAUCAAUAAUGCAAAUAAUAUUGAUCAACGAAAAACAUGCAUAACCGAAAAUACGCUUUAACAAUUAAAGGAAUUCCCUAGCUUACUUAGCCCCAUUUCACUUAAAUUUUCUGGGCGUGUAACAAAAAAAUACUUAGCCUCCACAAUUAAUAGUAGCAGGCACUUAUCAGAAUGAUUUUUACUUUACUAAUAAAUGUUUAUUAACAAGGGUUUAAAGUUUAUAAACCAAGGUUUAAGGUUUAUUAACCACGCCUUAAUUAAUAAACCCUAAAACCUAGUUUAUAAACCCUAACCCCCUUGUUAAUAAACCUUAAACCCUUAUCCUGAUUAAGUUUUGCUACUAAUAGUAGCGGACGCUAAGUGUUUUUUUUACGGUUCGUUACUAUUAGUAGCGGAUGUAAAUUUUUUAACUUCUAAUCCUGACCAUUCCUUCUUAUUUUCAAUAAUAUCAAUGGAGUAUACCUAUGAGAAUUCAUAGCAAAUACAUCAUCUUCAUCAACCAACAACCAUCAUCGUUGAUCAAUAUCAUUAAAAGCUAAGAUUUAAAAAAAAAAUUCCAACCGCUACAAGCUGUAGCGGCAGUGACAACAACUUAUAUAUGCAACUAUUUUACUAAAGGGACCCACCUAGUCAAACUAAUUCACUAAAGGGUCCCACUUGGUGGGAUACAUUUUCAGAAGAGAAUUUAUUUUCAUCUCAUAUGUGUCGCUACAACUUGUAACGGUUGUGCAUUUUUUUAGCUCCUCGGGAAUUAAAGUUCAUAUGUGAAAAAGUAUCUAACAUGUGAUAAAGUAUUUGACCUCGGGAAUUGGCAUUGCAGGUGUGUUUUUCAAAGUUCACGCUGCUACAAGUUGUAGAGGCUAUUUUCUCCAAAUUUUUUUGCCCUUCUUUUUUCCAUUCCUUUCUCCAUUAUUUCCGCUACAAGUUUCACAUUCACAUAAACCAACAUAAACAUAAGAGAGAAAUAAGGGGAAAGAAGAGAGAAAGAAGAGGAAAGAUCUUUGCACACUAAAUUUUGUCAGAUCUACUCGAAUAUAUUUGUAAGAUUUUUUUACUGUUUUUUUAAAUAAAUAUAUAUUGUCAUUGUUUUUGAAAGUUUUAUUUUAUGCAAAUUUUAUUUUAUUUUAUCGACCUACAAUUUCAAAAAUAAUGACAAAAUGUAGUGUGCAAAGAUCUUUCCUCUUCUUUCUCCGUCUUUAUCUCUUAUUUUUCUCUUAUGUUUAUGUUGGUUGCUUUGAAUAUGAAAAUUGUAGCGGAAAUAAAUAGGGAAAGGAAUGGAAAAAGGAAAGGCAAAAAGAGAAGAUAGUCGCUACAACUUGUAGCGGCGUGAACUUUCAAAACCCCACCUAUAAUGUUAAUUCCCGAGGUUAGAUAAUUUAUCACAUGUCAUAUACUUUUUCACAUGUGAACUUUCAUUCCCGAGAAGCUAAAAAAAAUGACCAGUCGACUGGCACAUAUGAGACGAAAAUAAAUUCCCUUCUGAAAAUGAUUCUAACCAAUCUGACCAAGUGAGAACCUUUAGUGAAUUAAUUUGACAUGGGUCCCUUUAGUAAAAUAGUUUUCGGUACAAGUUUUUGUCAUUGCCGCUACAAUUUGGCUGAGUUUUUUUUAAAUUUUUUUUAACAUUUAAUAAUAUUGAUCAACGAUGGAGAUAAUGGUUGUUGGAAUAGUAACCUAACAACCGGUUGCCAUGGAUUGUAACCCGUAUAUAUAUAUAUAUAUAUAUAUAUAUAUGUGUGUGUGUGUGUGUGUGUGUGUGUGUGUGAGAGAGAGUUUCUUAAUUUUCAUAAGAUAGAUAAUACAUGCAUUCAAAAUAAAUAAAAUAAAAAAAGAUCAUAAUACAACAAAUUUUUUUCUACAAAGUUUUCUAAUGUUUUUAUUUCCCUCUUUAUUAUUAAGUACUUCCCAUUAUAUAUUAUUUUUAUUAAUAAUAUAUAUGUAGGGAUGUUCAUCGGUAAAUUAUUGUACCAAAUCAAAUCUAUUCAAUUUUGGCUACCGAUAUUGGUACCGAUUGGACUGGUAUACCGAACCGGUUAGCUGAUCUGAAACCGUUGCAAUGCCAGUUUUUAUCUAAUUUUAUACCGGUUGUCAAUAAAGUCAGAACUUCGUUCCACUGGUCAUAAACUUUUUCUGACCACACAAUCACAAUUUUUACAAUCCAACCAAAACCAACUCUUACAAAACCUUCUACAAAUUCAUUUUCUUCUUCUACAAAAAACCAUCACAAACAAAAACAACAAUUAUCACUACAACUGAUCAAAUCAACAAUAUGUCAUUACAAUAAGUUAAAAAAAACAAUAAAUAAGCACAAAAUUGCCAUUAUAAGAGAAAAGGUUAAAACUUAGAUCCAAUUACUGGAGCAAAUUUUUUCCUGUAACAUGCAAGUAGAAAAAUUAAGAAUGUGAGCUAACAAUCAACUUUUAUGAGGUUAACAAAUAAACCCUAAAACUGGCAAAACCCCAAGUAAAUUAAGAACUAAAUAAAGUUUAAACUAGCAAAUCAAUAUGCAAGCAACACAAAAUUAAAAACUCAUAUAAAAGAAAAAGAUAAACAUGACUUGAAGAUAAAAAAGAAAUGAACAAGGAGUAAUUGUAGAAUAACUAGAAAUGAUCUAAACAAUGGAACGAAAUCUAAACAAAUAAAAAAGAAAACUCCCAAAACAGAGCAUAGGCUACAUAAUAGAUUUUGGAAUGGGAACAUACCUAUCUAUAAGGACGUCGACGACGAAAAUCGAGUCAGAUGCACUUAAUUUUUAGUCUUAAUUUGGGGGGAGGUGAGAUGAGAGAGAAGAAGAUAAAUUGAAGGGAGGGGUAAUUAGUGAAAGCCAUAGGUAAUUAGAUAUUGUCUGGAUGAUGGAUGACAUCAUGAGAGAAUAGAAGCAGGUGCGACGAUGGAGAGAAAGGUAGAGAUGGAUUCAAGAUGGAGAGAAAUUGAAAAGUGAGAAAGGUGCAGAGCAAAUAGGAAUAAAAUUAAUAGAUCUGUAACUGGUAUAACCGACUCGGUUCGGUUAUAUACUGAACGAGUCAAAC